CCAGACUCCUACGGGAGGCAGCAGUGGGGGAUAUUGCACAAUGGGGGGAACCCUGAUGCAGCGACGCCGCGUGGGUGAAGGAGUAUUUCGGUAUGUAAAGCCCUAUCGGCAGGGAAGAAGCAAGACGGUACCUGAAGAAGAAGCCCCGGCUAACUACGUGCCAGCAGCCGCGGUAAUACGUAGGGGGCAAGCGUUAUCCGGAUUUACUGGGUGUAAAGGGGGCGCAGACGGCGAUGCAAGCCAGGAGUGAAAGCCCGGGGCCCAACCCCGGGACUGCUCUUGGAACUGCGUGGCUGGAGUGCAGGAGGGGCAGGCGGAAUUCCUGGUGUAGCGGUGAAAUGCGUAGAUAUUAGGAGGAACACCAGUGGCGAAGGCGGCCUGCUGGACGAUGACUGACGUUGAGGCUCGAAAGCGUGGGGAGCAAACAGGAUUAGAUACCCCAGUA
Molecule: ribosomal RNA, 445 nt
Filed under: uncultured bacterium
Lineage: Bacteria
Description: bacterial SSU rRNA
Rfam family: Bacterial small subunit ribosomal RNA
Source: RNAcentral